RNAcentral lists this ribosomal RNA (704 nucleotides) under uncultured Bradyrhizobiaceae bacterium. Its description in RNAcentral is "bacterial SSU rRNA". It matches the Rfam family "Bacterial small subunit ribosomal RNA", at positions 28 to 776 of the family's 1533-position model. Lineage: Bacteria; Pseudomonadati; Pseudomonadota; Alphaproteobacteria; Hyphomicrobiales; Nitrobacteraceae. The record is from RNAcentral.
AGCGAACGCUGGCGGCAGGCUUAACACAUGCAAGUCGAGCGGGCAUAGCAAUAUGUCAGCGGCAGACGGGUGAGUAACGCGUGGGAACGUACCUUUUGGUUCGGAACAACACAGGGAAACUUGUGCUAAUACCGGAUAAGCCCUUACGGGGAGAGAUUUAUCGCCGAAAGAUCGGCCCGCGUCUGAUUAGCUAGUUGGUGAGGUAAUGGCUCACCAAGGCGACGAUCAGUAGCUGGUCUGAGAGGAUGAUCAGCCACAUUGGGACUGAGACACGGCCCAAACUCCUACGGGAGGCAGCAGUGGGGAAUAUUGGACAAUGGGCGCAAGCCUGAUCCAGCCAUGCCGCGUGAGUGAUGAAGGCCCUAGGGUUGUAAAGCUCUUUUGUGCGGGAAGAUAAUGACGGUACCGCAAGAAUAAGCCCCGGCUAACUUCGUGCCAGCAGCCGCGGUAAUACGAAGGGGGCUAGCGUUGCUCGGAAUCACUGGGCGUAAAGGGUGCGUAGGCGGGUCUUUAAGUCAGGGGUGAAAUCCUGGAGCUCAACUCCAGAACUGCCUUUGAUACUGAAGAUCUUGAGUUCGGGAGAGGUGAGUGGAACUGCGAGUGUAGAGGUGAAAUUCGUAGAUAUUCGCAAGAACACCAGUGGCGAAGGCGGCUCACUGGCCCGAUACUGACGCUGAGGCACGAAAGCGUGGGGAGCAAACAGG